RNAcentral lists this unclassified non-coding RNA (202 nucleotides) under Hevea brasiliensis (rubber tree). Lineage: Eukaryota; Viridiplantae; Streptophyta; Magnoliopsida; Malpighiales; Euphorbiaceae. The record is from RNAcentral.
AGAAGAAGAAGAAGAAGAAGAAGAAUGGGAGUUUUUUCAAACAAGAUCGGAAGGGAUGAGUUGAAGCCAGGGGAUCACAUCUACUCUUGGAGGCUCGCUUACAUAUACUCUCAUCAUGGGAUAUAUGUUGGCGAUGGAAUGGUGAUCCACUUUACACGUGGAGCAGGUCAGGAGAUAGGGACAGGAACUGUUUUAGACCGAA